GGAAAUUACAAGCUCACCAUAUAAAACAUUUUGGAAAUAAAGGGAAGAUGACCGGAUGGGUAGGAUUUUAGCAGGUGAGGAUAAAAAGAGAAGUAGAUGAAGCAGUUUAAGCAAAAAGAGGCCUCAGGGAGGUAUGGUGCGUAUUCCGACUCUGGGCUAACCACCAUCCUGUUUCAUUUAAGUGGCAAGGCAGUGUGUUGGGAUUAAGAGCCCUGUCACUCAAUUGCUGUGUGUCCUCAAGCAUGGUACUGGACCUCUCUGAGACUGCCUUAAUAGAGGACACUGAAGCCAGGGCAAGGCAUUAGUACAUGGUAGGUGGCAGCAUCCAUUGAAGGCUUUGCAUAGGGAAGAGCCUUGAUUGGAACUUGGCAACUAAUUAGACACCAGAGUCAAAAAGGAGUGUUAAGGCAGGGUCAUUGUGUGGCUGGAGGGACCAGCACUGGGUUCGUGGGUGAAGAGGAAGAGUUUAAUGUUUGAUGAGUUUGUGUUGCUUACAGGACAUCUGAAGAAAACCCCCAGCAAGCAGAUGGGGCUGGGCCUGAAGUUCGAGUGGAAGGUAGGAAGAGAUGAUGGAAAUGUGGGGCCACUGGAGCCCAGCAGGACAGUUAGGAGAAUGUCCAAGGAGAAAGGGGGAAGGACGGGGCUGAGGAAGGCCCCUUAUAUUUAGAGGCUGGGGUUGGGAGUCAGAGGAUGGAAACAGCACCUUCAGAGGGGUCUUGUCCCCAGGGAGGGCCUCAGUGCAGACAGUGUCAAGCCCUAAGGAUCAUCCAGCAACCCCAUCACCCCCAACUCACUUCACAGAGAGAGGCACAUCAGGUGUGCUCAGCAUCACAGAGCAGGAAGAGGCAGGGCAGGACCAGAACCCAGAACUCAGCACUCUGCUCUUCUCACACCCAUAUAUUCAGAGCCCUUGAGACCUGGCUCUCCUGACCUGGCUUAUCUGUGAGCUUUGCCUUUGAGAGAAGACUGCCAGGCUCUAGGACAGGUGCUGAAGGGAAAUACAGUUCGGGGGCCUUGUCUUCCUGGCUCUGCAAGCCCUCCCACGGUAUAUGUAGGGCAGUGUGUGGGGACAUCCGGUCCUGCCAGCUGCAGCCAGUCUGGCCUUUGCCGAGGGAAGGAGGUCUUUGGGAGAGGGAAAUUGUUUCUCCAAAAGAUGGGGAAGAAGUUUCUGCCUCACCAUGUGGUGCGGAAGAGGGGCCAGAGAGGUGUGUGUCUGCUGGGCCAGAGCUGGGGGGGGACCUCUAACUUGACCUAAGCACUUGAGGGUGGCCUUCUGCUUAUCCUUUUCCUUCAAGGGUGGAAAUAAAAAAUAUAU
Molecule: long non-coding RNA, 1315 nt
Filed under: Camelus dromedarius (Arabian camel)
Lineage: Eukaryota; Metazoa; Chordata; Mammalia; Artiodactyla; Camelidae
Description: lncRNA (ENSCDRG00005011381.1)
Source: RNAcentral